This 73-nucleotide transfer RNA is filed under the name Galeopterus variegatus (Sunda flying lemur). RNAcentral's name for it is "tRNA-Asn". The record is from RNAcentral. Lineage: Eukaryota; Metazoa; Chordata; Mammalia; Dermoptera; Cynocephalidae.
UAGAUUGAAGCCAGUUGUUUAGGGCGAUUAGCUGUUAACUAAUUUCUCGCAGGGUUGGAGCCUGUCGGUCUAG